GACGAACGCUGGCGGCGUGCCUAAUACAUGCAAGUCGAACGAGAGCACCCGGUGCUUGCACUGGUCAAUCUAGUGGCGAACGGGUGAGUAACACGUGGGUAACCUGCCCAUCAGAGGGGGAUAACAUCCGGAAACGGAUGCUAAAACCGCAUAGGUCUUCGAACCGCAUGGUUUGAAGAGGAAAAGAGGCGCGAGCUUCUGCUGAUGGUUGGACCCGCGGUGCAUUAGCUAGUUGGUGAGGUAACGGCUUACCAAGGCCGUGAUGCAUAGCCGACCUGAGAGGGUGAUCGGCCACAUUGGGACUGAGACACGGCCCAGACUCCUACGGGAGGCAGCAGUAGGGAAUCUUCCGCAAUGGACGCAAGUCUGACGGAGCAACGCCGCGUGAGUGAAGAAGGUUUUCGGAUCGUAAAACUCUGUUGUUAGAGAAGAACAAGUGCUAGAGUAACUGUUAGCGCCUUGACGGUAUCUAAUCAGAAAGCCACGGCUAACUACGUG
Molecule: ribosomal RNA, 498 nt
Filed under: uncultured bacterium
Lineage: Bacteria
Description: partial 16S ribosomal RNA
Rfam family: Bacterial small subunit ribosomal RNA
Source: RNAcentral